RNAcentral lists this ribosomal RNA (216 nucleotides) under uncultured bacterium. RNAcentral's name for it is "partial 16S ribosomal RNA". It matches the Rfam family "Bacterial small subunit ribosomal RNA", at positions 1285 to 1500 of the family's 1533-position model. The record is from RNAcentral.
GUCUCAGUUCAGAUUGCAGGCUGCAACUCGCCUGCAUGAAGUCGGAAUUGCUAGUAAUCGCAGAUCAGCAUGCUGUGGUGAAUACGUUCCCGGGCCUUGUACACACCGCCCGUCACACCAUGGGAGUCGGUAACACCCGAAGUCGGUAGCCUAACCGUAAGGAGGGCGCCGCCGAAGGUGGGAUUGAUGACUGGGGUGAAGUCGUAACAAGGUAUC